GGUCAACGGCAGACUGCCCUUUUUGAAAGGUUCAUCGCAUGUGGUAGAAGCAAAGAUAAUGUUCUUCAAUUGAUGUGCCCUUUCUUAUGCUUAUUCAUGGAGCGUACAGAGUGGAUGAGUUGUUCUCAGUUCCGCGAAACUUAGUGGGGCUUGUUAGCGAUACCGUGACGACAAUAAUUUCUCGCUGCAGGGAUACGGGGAAGUCUCCAGGGUGAACCAGUUCUAGACCGGCUUCAAUGCACUACCAAGUGCCUCAUCAAACUGCUGUGAGGAAUUCGAUUUCAAAGCACUCAUUCAAAUAGUUAAAGUUACAGGUUCAUGGGACUGAGACCACUAGUGCUGAAAAUUUUA
Long non-coding RNA from Rhipicephalus microplus (southern cattle tick), 351 nucleotides. RefSeq lists it as uncharacterized. The record is from RefSeq and is a predicted model, not a curated record. NCBI's taxonomy places the organism in Eukaryota, Metazoa, Arthropoda, Arachnida, Ixodida, Ixodidae.